UACGUAGGGGGGCUAGCGUUGUCCGGAAUCAUUGGGCGUAAAGAGCGUGUAGGCGGCCCGGUAAGUCCGCUGUGAAAGUCGGGGGCUCAACCCUCGGAUGCCGGUGGAUACUGUCGGGCUCGAGUACGGAAGAGGCGAGUGGAAUCCUGGUGUAGCGGUGAAAUGCGCAGAUAUCAGGAGGAACACCUAUUGCGAAGGCAGCUCGCUGGGACGUUACUGACGCUGAGACGCGAAAGCGUGGGGAGCAAACAGG
Molecule: ribosomal RNA, 253 nt
Filed under: uncultured bacterium
Lineage: Bacteria
Description: partial 16S ribosomal RNA
Rfam family: Bacterial small subunit ribosomal RNA
Source: RNAcentral